UUCUCAUCAAGAGAGGCAGAGGGACUGGCCCGAUGAAGCCUCGGCAACCUUCAGGUUCAUUUAUCUGAAAAGGUGCCAACUCCUGCGCUGGAUUUUAAAAAUCCAAGCGGUAGAUGAGAG
This 120-nucleotide non-coding RNA is filed under the name Oxobacter pfennigii. Its description in RNAcentral is "SAM-I sequence". It matches the Rfam family "SAM riboswitch aptamer (S box leader)". From Rfam's summary of the family: The SAM riboswitch is found upstream of a number of genes which code for proteins involved in methionine or cysteine biosynthesis in Gram-positive bacteria. The SAM riboswitch acts at the level of transcription termination control. Lineage: Bacteria; Bacillati; Bacillota; Clostridia; Eubacteriales; Clostridiaceae. The record is from Rfam by way of RNAcentral.